GAUGAGGAAACCGAGGCUCAGAAAAAUGGAGUGACUUUGCCAAGUCCUCCAGCGAGUGGACCAUCCAGGGCUGGAACUUGGCAUCAGAAACCCCGGCAGCCAUUCACUUUUAUUUAUCCAUUUCUUGGGCAGAUUCGCUCGGUGCUUUGACAGGAGGUCAUGAGUGAGGGUCAAGCUGAGGGUCAGGGCUGUGGGUUUUCCAAAAGAGCUUCCACCAAGCAAAUGCGCCGUGUUCAGAGGAUGCUGGGCUGCUGUUCCUCGACAGCUGGACGAGCAGGCAUCUGCUCAUUGCCUUUUCUGUGGACAGAUGUGGUCCACUGUGUCCACACUGCUGUCUCAUUGAAGACCUCUGUGGCCAGUGCAGGUGGCUAUUCUGAUUUUAACCAAGCCUUGGUCUGCAGAGCAGUUGGGUUUAGUGGGACUUGGUAACUGGCCCAGUGGCUGUUGGUCUUCAUGUGUGGCCUCCGUGAGCAGCCUCACAGGGUGUGGUUGGCACGUCUCCCCAUGGCAUGCCUCCCCCGGAAGCUCAGGGCUGGUCACCCGAGGAGCUGCCAUCUUGUCCCUCGUCCUGGUUGCUGCCAGAUGUUGACCAGAGUGUCAUUCUCCUCUUUCCUGGUCCUCUCCAACCUAAGGAUUGGCCCUGGGUCAUGUGUGGCUUUCCAAGAGCCCUCCUGUUUUGCUGGGUCCCCUCCCCAUCCUGUCCUGGCUAGCUGGUCACUGGAGUUUCCCUCCGUCAGCUGGAACAAGUGUCCGGCUUCAGAACACAAACCCCUUCCAUCUGUCCUCCUGCUUAACAGGACGCUCAGCUCCAGGUGUCCGCCUGUGUGUGUGUGUAUGUGUGUGUGUGUGUGUGUGUGUAGGGGGAGAAAGCGAAAUCUGGGGAUCUAUGUAUGUAGUGCACCAGGCUGUUGGGUUGUUCAGGAGUGGGGAGCAGGUGCCCCCCGUUUUCUCAGCUGUCAGGGUGAUCUGUGGCAUUUGAGAGGUCUCCCCUGUCCUCACCUCUGCACAGUGACGUGCACACUCAUUACACAAGGACG
Molecule: long non-coding RNA, 1037 nt
Filed under: Marmota monax (woodchuck)
Lineage: Eukaryota; Metazoa; Chordata; Mammalia; Rodentia; Sciuridae
Source: RNAcentral